Molecule: non-coding RNA, 830 nt
Organism: Pelobates cultripes (western spadefoot toad)
Lineage: Eukaryota; Metazoa; Chordata; Amphibia; Anura; Pelobatidae
Source: the annotation of a GenBank genome assembly
CUUCCUUUAGCUCUAUGCCAAAGUUCCUAAUAAUCACAUUUUUCUAGCUAAUGAUAGCUAAGUACUUUCUAACUCCAGAAGGGCUAUCCUUGGGGAACCCUCAAGAACUUACCUGGCUUUAUCAGCGUGAUUCUCAACCCUAGUUCAAAUCAUACUUGGUCUGACAGACCCUAACGCUCACUAGUGAGGGUUAUCCUGGUGCCCCCAAUUACUGAAAUUACUCAAAGCACAUCAAUGGCAGAUACAAGUGGCGCAGCUGUGGCCACGUGACGGGCAGUACACCUAGAACGUGUGUACGGUUUUUAUGGAAGCCUACAACUUCUUAUGUGCCAGCUUUUGGCUCUGGCUGGAGUCCUGAAAGGAGUCUGUGAAAUAUCAUCCUAGUUUCCUCUGCAACAGCAUUACCACAACACAGGUUCUUUCCUUGCACAGACAGAGUGUAACCUACCAGCGAUCCUGUCCCGGGGCCUUUGCCGCUAAUCUUAACAGGGAGAGCACCUAAAUAGGUAAUCCACCUGCACCAUUCCCACUUUAAACAGGCGUGUCUAACUGAUAUAUUGAUCGGAGGCUGUGCCAACACUCACUUACGGUCUUGUGGUAUUAAUAGGAAUCAGCAGGGACUACCUUUACGAAUGGGAAUUGGCUUACAUGAUGCAUGGGCUUCUGGCAGUUCUAUCUAUCUAGCUAGCUCUGGUACACACUGGAUUGACUGACGGCUGAUAGUUUAAUUGUGCGUUAUGUACGCUUCAGAUCGUGUUUUUUUUUUUAUGUUGUAUGAUUUUUACAUCAGGUUAUCACAUAAUCCAUAGGACAAAAUAUACACUGUGCCG